CCUACGGGAGGCAGCAGUGGGGAAUAUUGCGCAAUGGGCGAACGCCUGACGCAGCGACGCCGCGUGAGGGAUGAAGGUCUUCGGAUCGUAAACCUCUGUCAGCAGGGAAGAACGGUCACUGUGCUAAUCAGCAGUUGAUUGACGGUACCUGCAAAGGAAGCACCGGCUAACUCCGUGCCAGCAGCCGCGGUAAUACGGAGGGUGCGAGCGUUAAUCGGAAUUACUGUGAGUAAAGCGCUCGUGGGCGGUAUGACAAGUCAAGGGUGAAAUCCCCGCGCUCAACGUGGGAACUGCCUUUGAAACUGGCAGACUGGAGUGUGUGAGAGGAUAGUGGAAUUCCAGGUGUAGGAGUGAAAUCCGUAGAUAUCUGGAGGAACAUCAGUGGCGAAGGCGACUAUCUGGCACAUAACUGACGCUGAGGAGCGAAAGCGUGGGUAGCAAACAGGAUUAGAUACCCUUGUAGUC
RNAcentral lists this ribosomal RNA (465 nucleotides) under uncultured bacterium. RNAcentral's name for it is "partial 16S ribosomal RNA". It matches the Rfam family "Bacterial small subunit ribosomal RNA", at positions 338 to 795 of the family's 1533-position model. The record is from RNAcentral.